This 407-nucleotide ribosomal RNA is filed under the name uncultured prokaryote. RNAcentral's name for it is "bacterial SSU rRNA". It matches the Rfam family "Bacterial small subunit ribosomal RNA", at positions 355 to 776 of the family's 1533-position model. The record is from RNAcentral. RNAcentral also lists the same sequence under 1 other name.
UGGGGAAUAUUGCGCAAUGGGGGAAACCCUGACGCAGCAACGCCGCGUGAAGGAUGAAGGUUUUCGGAUUGUAAACUUCUUUGAUGAGGGACGAACACAAUGACGGUACCUCAAAAACAAGCCACGGCUAACUACGUGCCAGCAGCCGCGGUAAUACGUAGGUGGCGAGCGUUGUCCGGAAUUACUGGGUGUAAAGGGCGUGUAGGCGGGAAAGCAAGUCAGAUGUGAAAUACCGGGGCUUAACUCCGGGGCUGCAUCUGAAACUGUUUUUCUUGAGUGUCGGAGAGGAAAGCGGAAUUCCUAGUGUAGCGGUGAAAUGCGUAGAUAUUAGGAGGAACACCAGUGGCGAAGGCAGGUCUCUGGGCCGCAACUGACGCUGAGGAGCGAAAGCAUGGGGAGCGAACAGG